GGCUGGCUGGGCGGGGAGUGGUGUCGCCUAGCAGCCGGCGCCGCUUCGGCUUGUUUGGGAAGAGUUGGCGGGAGCAGCUUGAGUGCGCGAGGACAGCUAUUGGAAGCGAGAGGCCCAGGCGGUGGCCGAACCCGGACGUGAUCGCUGUAGAUGAGUGACUGCUGCUGUUUUGCCCGUCUUGGUUUAGGAACUGAGAGGCAGUGAAAGAAUUCAAGAUGCCACCUAAUAUAAAAUGGAAAGAAUUAAUCAAAGUUGAUCCAGAUGAACUGCCACGUCAAGAAGAGUUGGCAGAUAAAUUAUUGAUAUCCUUAUCCAAGGUGGAAGUAAAUGAACUAAAAAAUGAAGAUCAAGAAAACAUGAUACAUCUGUUCAGAAUUACUCAGUCACUAAUGAAGAUGAAAGCUCAAGAAGUGGAGCUGGCCUUG
This 425-nucleotide long non-coding RNA is filed under the name Rattus norvegicus (Norway rat). Its description in RNAcentral is "long non-coding RNA NONRATT025757". Lineage: Eukaryota; Metazoa; Chordata; Mammalia; Rodentia; Muridae. The record is from RNAcentral.